GAGAUCGGGAUAACACCUGGAAACAGAUGCUAAUACCGGAUAACAAUAGAUGAUGCCUAUCAACUGUUUAAAAGAUGGUUCUGCUAUCACUCUUGGAUGGACCUGCGGUGCAUUAGCUAGUUGGUAGGGUAACGGCCUACCAAGGCGAUGAUGCAUAGCCGAGUUGAGAGACUGAUCGGCCACAUUGGGACUGAGACACGGCCCAAACUCCUACGGGAGGCAGCAGCA
RNAcentral lists this ribosomal RNA (228 nucleotides) under uncultured Lactobacillus sp. RNAcentral's name for it is "partial 16S ribosomal RNA". It matches the Rfam family "Bacterial small subunit ribosomal RNA", at positions 134 to 355 of the family's 1533-position model. The record is from RNAcentral. Lineage: Bacteria; Bacillati; Bacillota; Bacilli; Lactobacillales; Lactobacillaceae.